Molecule: ribosomal RNA, 500 nt
Filed under: uncultured bacterium
Lineage: Bacteria
Description: partial 16S ribosomal RNA
Rfam family: Bacterial small subunit ribosomal RNA
Source: RNAcentral
AUUGAACGCUGGCGGCAUGCCUUACACAUGCAAGUCGAACGGCAGCGCGGACUUCGGUCUGGCGGCGAGUGGCGAACGGGUGAGUAAAACAUCGGAACGUACCCUGUUGUGGGGGAUAACUAGUCGAAAGAUUAGCUAAUACCGCAUACGACCUGAGGGUGAAAGUGGGGGACCGCAAGGCCUCACGCAGCAGGAGCGGCCGAUGUCUGAUUAGCUAGUUGGUGGGGUAAAGGCCCACCAAGGCGACGAUCAGUAGCUGGUCUGAGAGGACGAUAGGCCAAACUGGGACUGAGACACGGCCCAGACUCCUACGGGAGGCAGCAGUGGGGAAUUUUGGACAAUGGGGGCAACCCUGAUCCAGCAAUGCCGCGUGUGUGAAGAAGGCCUUCGGGUUGUAAAGCACUUUUGUCCGGAAAGAAAUCGCGCUGGUUAAUACCUGGCGUGGAUGACGGUACCGGAAGAAUAAGCACCGGCUAACUACGUGCCAGCCGCCGCCGUAA